CAUGUACCAUAUGAUCCACAAACAUAUAUACAUCGUCUUAAAAUAGUAUAUUACAGACUUAGCUUUUAUCUCGCGACAUCUUGCACCUUACCGUGUGUAUCUAUGCAUAGUCCCCGCCCACAUGGUGGAAGUCACCGGCGGCGGCCGAACAGCGGCAGCUGACCCUGCAGCCGCCGCUUCUAGGCGAGCCGUCUCCGACUGAUGGGUCCUCUCCCGAAAUCUCCUUAUGAAAGUUUCUACUUGUUGGUCUACUUUGCCAUCCUGGCAAUCGAUGGGCUCCAUAAGGACCGUCCUGCAUCCGGCCAUGGGCUCAACGCAGCGGGUGGAUGCCGCUGGAGACCAUGUCGGAGCCCUGGCCGCUGCCGUCCUAGUCGGCGAUGCUGUCGCACGGGGUGUGAUCCUGGAGAGGAGGUAGGACGAGGAGGCCAUGAUGAGGUUGGCCGUGAUGAUGGUGGAGGACUCGAAGAGGGAGGAGUUGUUCCUACGCCGUGAUGGCGCCAUGCCUGCCAGCUGUGGGCUGUUUCCUAGCUAACAAGUGCAACUAUGUCUUGGUGGUGUUAUGUGAGUUUGCAGAGGGGUUGGUGACUUUGGUCUGUUAAGAGUCUUAGAGAUUGCUAGAUAGAGAUGGCUGUGCUGAGUUUGUAAUAAUGAUGGUACAGGGGCUAUUUAUAUAUCACAUCCAGAAUUUCACUGUUGUGGAUUGGAAUAAUGUGAAAUAUCUAUAUAUACAUGUGGUGGUCCCUGAAAUGGGUUGGCUUGAAGAAUCUAUGCUGUACAGUUCGACUAUAUUAUUAUAUGUUCUUUUUUUCAUUAUUGUAUCAGCCAGGAAACUUAUAUGCGUGGACAUGUUUCUAUUUGUCUCUGUGUAAACUUGUAGGCCUCAUCUGAAGAAACAGAAUAUUAUU
This 905-nucleotide long non-coding RNA is filed under the name Setaria viridis. RNAcentral describes it as "long non-coding RNA (SVIR_LNC004566)". Lineage: Eukaryota; Viridiplantae; Streptophyta; Magnoliopsida; Poales; Poaceae. The record is from RNAcentral.